GAUGCCAGGGGCAAAAGGUCUAAAACCACAUGAGCUUGCUCAUAAGUGGGAGAUAGACCUUGGGUCCCGCCCGAUAUGAGCAUAAAAGUGGGAUGUAUAUCCCACGAUAUGCGAAUAUCGGGGAGGAUUGCGAGAGUGCGUAGCACGGAACAAUCCGCAGGCAUC
This 165-nucleotide small RNA is filed under the name uncultured Mediterraneibacter sp. RNAcentral describes it as "Clostridiales-1 RNA". It matches the Rfam family "Clostridiales-1 RNA". The record is from RNAcentral. Lineage: Bacteria; Bacillati; Bacillota; Clostridia; Lachnospirales; Lachnospiraceae.